RNAcentral lists this ribosomal RNA (2223 nucleotides) under Heterosigma akashiwo. Its description in RNAcentral is "partial Bacterial large subunit ribosomal RNA". It matches the Rfam family "Bacterial large subunit ribosomal RNA", at positions 10 to 2473 of the family's 2925-position model. Lineage: Eukaryota; Raphidophyceae; Chattonellales; Chattonellaceae. The record is from RNAcentral.
AAAAAAAGCAUUAAACGGAUACCUUGACAAAAGAUUCUAUUGGAUGUUGUACAACAAAAAUUUUAGCUGAGCUGUAAUGCUGGGACGCUGAAAUGUCCAAUAAAAGAAAUUUUUCUCUUGGAAGUUUUCAGAAAAGUGAAUUGAAACAUCUUAGUAACUUUUUAAGAAAUCAAACGAGAUACUGAAAGUAGUGGCGAACGAACUCAGUACAGGCAAAAAACAUAGAUAAAACACCAAUUGAACCUCGAGACCAGAGAAGGUUUAAGUCCUGUAGAUCGGCAAAAACUGUGUUUUUAAGUAAAAGAGGUUGUACUCUUUGAACAAUGGGGGACCACCCUCAAAGCCUAAAUUUUGGUCUUUUGAUCGAUAGUGAACGAGUACUGUGAAGGAAAGGACAUACAUCCUAGGAUGUUUUGAAAUUUAAUGCUAGCAAUCGGUUGGAGCUUUAUAAAGUGACAGCGUACCUUUUGCAUAAUGGGUCAGCGAGUUUUUAAAAAAGGCAAGCUUUUAACGAGGCGAAGAAAAUACGAAUUUUAAAAAAUAACCAGUCUUUUUUAAAAGACCCGAAACUGAGUGAUCUAACCUUGAACAGGCUGAAGACAGAGUGGUAACAUUCGUUGGAGGGCCGAACCCGUGUCUGUGGCAACAUACUGGGAUGAUUUGAGGUUAGGAGUGAAAGGCUAAUCAAACUCAGAGAUAGCUGGUUUUCUGCGAAAUCUAUUUAAGUAGAGCGAUCAAGUAAAACUUUUUGGGGUAGAGCACUUUUUAGAUGAUGGGGCAAUUUCGCUUACUGAUUUUAAGAAAACUCCGAAUACAAAAAGCUCUGAACUUGAUCAGACAGACCAUGGGUGCUAAGGUCCAUGGUCAAGAGGGAAACAGCCCAGAUUGAUCGCUAAGGUCCCAAAGAAAUCUUUCAGUUUAAGGAAGUAAGAUUACGAAGACAACUAGUAGGUCGGCUUGGAAGCAGCCAUCCUUGAAAGAAAUCGUAACAGAUCACUGGUCGAGUAAUUUUGCACCGAAAAUUUAUGGGCAUUAAAAGAUUCGCCGAAGCGGCAAACUUUUUUAAGUGGUAGCAGAACGUUCUGUGAAAUCAAUGAAGAAAAUUUGAGAAAAUUUUUCGAGAAAUCAGAAGUGAAAAUGCUGACAUGAGUAACAAAAAACAAUGUACAGAAUCAUUGUGGCUGUAAAUCCAAGGGUUUUGACGGAAGGAUUAUCCGCGUCAUGCCAUCUUUCGAUGGACAUAUUAGACGGUCCCUAAGAACGCUGAUGACAAUCAGGUUUGAUGGGUUAAACGUUUCGUUUCUUUAAAAAAAUGACAGAUUCUUAAGAUUAUUUUUAGUUUAUAGAGGAAACUAAAGGUGGUGGACGAAUUUCAGGAAAAAGUUUUUUUACUGCACAAACCGUACCUUAAACCAACACAGGUGGAUGGGUGGAAUACACUAAAGCCAAUGAGAGAAUGAUGUUGAAGGAACUCGGCAAAAUGAUUCCGUAACUUCGGAAGAAGGAAUAACCUUGCGAGGGCAACCUUGCAAGGUUGGCACAGAAUUGGGGGUAGCGACUGUUUAAUAAAAACACAGGUCUCUGCAAAUUUGUAAAAAGAUGUAUAGGGACUGACACCUGCCCGGUGCUGUAAGGUUAAACUAUGCUGUUUUGGCAGUGUACAUAAGCCUCAGUAAACGGCGGCUGUAACUCUGACGGUCCAAAGGUAGCGAAAUUCCUUGUCGGGUAAGUUCCGACCUGCACGAAUGGCGUAACGACUUCCCCGCUGUCUCCAACAUCGACUCAGCGAAAUUGAAUUACCUGUCAAGAUGCAGGUUUCCCGCGGUUAGACGGAAAGACCCCGUGCACCUUUACUACAGCUUCGCACUGGCAUCAGGAUUGUGAUGUGCAGGAUAGGUGGUAGGCAUCGAAGCCGGGACGCAAGUCCCGGUGGAGCCGCCCUUGAGAUACCACCCUUCGCACUCUUGAUGUCUAACCGCGGUCCGUUAUCCGGAUCCGGGACCCUGCGUGGCGGGUAGUUUGACUGGGGCGGUCGCCUCCUAAAGAGUAACGGAGGCGCGCGAAGGUUGGCUCAGAGCGGUCGGAAAUCGCUCGUUGAGUGCAAUGGCAGAAGCCAGCCUGACUGCGAGACUGACAAGUCGAGCAGAGACGAAAGUCGGCCAUAGUGAUCCGGUGGUCCCGCGUGGGUGGGCCAUCGCUCAACGGAUAAAAGGUACGCCGGGG